AUGAACGCUGGCGGCGUGCCUAAUACAUGCAAGUCGAGCGAACAGACGAGGAGCUUGCUCCUCUGACGUUAGCGGUGGACGGGUGAGUAACACGUGGAUAACCUACCUAUAAGACUGGGAUAACUUCGGGAAACCGGAGCUAAUACCGGAUAAUAUAUUGAACCGCAUGGUUCAAUAGUGAAAGACGGUUUUGCUGUCACUUAUAGAUGGAUCCGCGCCGCAUUAGCUAGUUGGUAAGGUAACGGCUUACCAAGGCAACGAUGCGUAGCCGACCUGAGAGGGUGAUCGGCCACACUGGAACUGAGACACGGUCCAGACUCCUACGGGAGGCAGCAGUAGGGAAUCUUCCGCAAUGGGCGAAAGCUUGACGGAGCAACGCCGCGUGAGUGAUGAAGGUCUUCGGAUCGUAAAACUCUGUUAUUAGGGAAGAACAAAUGUGUAAGUAACUAUGCACGUCUUGACGGUACCUAAUCAGAAAGCCACGGCUAACUACGUG
This 496-nucleotide ribosomal RNA is filed under the name uncultured bacterium. Its description in RNAcentral is "partial 16S ribosomal RNA". It matches the Rfam family "Bacterial small subunit ribosomal RNA", at positions 29 to 507 of the family's 1533-position model. The record is from RNAcentral.